AAUAUUGCACAAUGGGGGAAACCCUGAUGCAGCAACGCCGCGUGGAGGAUGACACUUUUCGGAGCGUAAACUCCUUUUAUAUCCCAAGAUAAUGACGAUAGGAUAUGAAUAAGCACCGGCUAACUCCGUGCCAGCAGCCGCGGUAAUACGGGGGGUGCAAGCGUUACUCGGAAUCACUGGGCGUAAAGAGCGUGUAGGCGGGUUUGUAAGUUGGAAGUGAAAUCCUAUGGCUCAACCAUAGAACUGCUUCCAAAACUGCUUACCUAGAAUAUGGGAGAGGUAGAUGGAAUUUCUGGUGUGGGGGUAAAAUCCGUAGAGAUCAGAAGGAAUACCGAUUGCGAAGGCGAUCUACUGGAACAUUAUUGACGCUGAGACGCGAAAGCAUGGGGAGCAAACAGGAUUAGAUACCCUGGUAGUCCAUGCCCUA
This 427-nucleotide ribosomal RNA is filed under the name uncultured marine bacterium. RNAcentral's name for it is "bacterial SSU rRNA". It matches the Rfam family "Bacterial small subunit ribosomal RNA", at positions 360 to 804 of the family's 1533-position model. The record is from RNAcentral.